RNAcentral lists this ribosomal RNA (253 nucleotides) under uncultured bacterium. RNAcentral's name for it is "partial 16S ribosomal RNA". It matches the Rfam family "Bacterial small subunit ribosomal RNA", at positions 524 to 776 of the family's 1533-position model. The record is from RNAcentral.
UACGUAGGGGGCCAGCGUUGUCCGGAUUUAUUGGGCGUAAAGAGCGUGUAGGCGGCCAUACAGGUCAGCUGUGAAAACUCGAGGCUCAACCUCGAGACGUCGGUUGAAACCGUAUGGCUAGAGUCCGGAAGAGGAGAGUGGAAUUCCCGGUGUAGCGGUGAAAUGCGCAGAUAUCGGGAGGAACACCAAUGGCGAAGGCAGCUCGCUGGGACGGUACUGACGCUGAGGCGCGAAAGCUAGGGGAGCGAACAGG